This 216-nucleotide ribosomal RNA is filed under the name uncultured bacterium. Its description in RNAcentral is "partial 16S ribosomal RNA". The record is from RNAcentral.
CAGCCGGGGGCGUGCUUACACAUGCAGUCGAACGCGCAUGCAGUUUGCUAUGCAAUACAGUAGUUGUGUGGGCGCGUGGGUAACGUGGAUAGCGUAAUCAAUCGUGGAUAACUCUUCCAUUCAGGGAUGGGCGACAAUCAAACCCAGAUGAAAAUUGGGCUAAUACCGUCAUAAACAUGACGAUGGCCACAUGGUGUUGUCUUCAAUAGGCGUCAA